GGAGGGAUGACCGAACGGUAAGGAACUGGUCUCGAAAACCAGCACGGCCCAAAAGGCCUUCCGGGUUCGAAUCCCGGUCCCUCCGCCA
RNAcentral lists this transfer RNA (88 nucleotides) under Candidatus Acetothermia bacterium. Its description in RNAcentral is "tRNA-Ser". It matches the Rfam family "tRNA". Rfam says of the family: Transfer RNA (tRNA) molecules are approximately 80 nucleotides in length. Their secondary structure includes four short double-helical elements and three loops (D, anti-codon, and T loops). Further hydrogen bonds mediate the characteristic L-shaped molecular structure. tRNAs have two regions of fundamental functional importance: the anti-codon, which is responsible for specific mRNA codon recognition, and the 3' end, to which the tRNAs corresponding amino acid is attached (by aminoacyl-tRNA synthetases). tRNAs cope with the degeneracy of the genetic code in two manners: having more than one tRNA (with a specific anti-codon) for a particular amino acid; and 'wobble' base-pairing, i.e. permitting non-standard base-pairing at the 3rd anti-codon position. The record is from RNAcentral. Lineage: Bacteria; Candidatus Bipolaricaulota.